This is a long non-coding RNA of Triticum dicoccoides, 427 nucleotides long. RefSeq lists it as uncharacterized. Lineage: Eukaryota; Viridiplantae; Streptophyta; Magnoliopsida; Poales; Poaceae. The transcript has 3 exons. The record is from RefSeq and is a predicted model, not a curated record.
GGUUAUGGUGCAAGUUAUAUCAAGGGUGCUCAUGUUGACUUGAAUCUGGUGCCGAGGGAUGAGAAUGAAGAGGAUGAUGUUGAGAACAUCAAGUUACCCACUGUGGUGGAGGAGAUCAACGAUUGACAUUCAUCAUGUGGAUGUUGAUCUUGCUAUUUUGGAGAUGAAUGUCAAAGUGAUCUUUCUCAUGUGAAGGCUACUUUUGCAUUUUUGUUAUGUUUGUCAUGAACUAUGAAUUGUCACUGCUAGCUUGGAGAUGAACCUCUCAUUUGUGUUAUGUUCAACUUGUCAAUUGCCAUGGACUUGGAAUUGUUAUUGCAAGUUUGUAAUCGUGUCGUUCAAUGAUGAUAAGACCUUAUGUUUGUGGAUGUGAUAUUUGUGCUUAACCUGAUUUGUGCCAUCUUUCGUGUCAAAAUCAGUUUGUGGA